Molecule: long non-coding RNA, 7657 nt
Filed under: Lynx pardinus (Iberian lynx)
Lineage: Eukaryota; Metazoa; Chordata; Mammalia; Carnivora; Felidae
Source: RNAcentral
AAGGAAAGGCCUAGGAUCGUAGUUAAUGGGAGUCGUGGGGUUGCAAGGAUUAUUGUGAGUUUUUUGUUUUGUUUUUAAAGCGAGAGAUUUAGGUAUCUGUAAGGCCAGAAUGGAGAGACAGGGAGAUGUUACCUAUAGUGGAGAGAGAAAGGAUGUUAGGAGGAUGUUCUGAGGAAGCACAAGGUGAGGUUAGCUAAGCCUGGUUACAAUGCUUUGCCUCGGACAGAAGAAAGUUACUGAGAUAGGCGGGAAAUGAAGUCCUGAAGGCAGGAAUUUUGGUGCUUUAGCAUCUGACGACCGUGAUUUUUUUCAAAAGAGGGCAGGAAUAAGACUUGCUGGGAGCAUUGACAAUUUGGGAUGACUGCAUUACUUGGUAGAAAUUGUGUUUCACAGAAUUUGCCGUGGGUGAAACAGAAGAAAGAUUUUUCUCUCACAUGAAGAACUCUGGAGGUAGACUGCCUGAGUGCUGGUUUGGUGGUGUCUUGGCAUCACAAAGUACCCAAUGUCUUCUCUUUCUACUCCAACUAAGUGCUAGGAAUUUAGCACUGAUUUCCUUCUUCAACCUGCAUCAUGAUCCAAGAUUCCUGCUCCAAGUACAAAGGUAGGGAAAGUAAUGGGAGAGGAUAAAGAGCAGAGCAGAUGGUGCACACAGCAACUUCUGCUCUGUCAUUGAUCUUUUUCUGAAGGAGUAAUACUAGAAAACUCCUGCAGUUUCAGAUCAUUAUCUAUCUCACUAGUUACCCACAGCUGAAAGGAUUUUGAGGAGCUCUUAUCUUUUAGCAGGGCAUGUUGUCACUUAUAAUAAGGUGGGAUGCUGUCCCCAAGAACGAGGGGAGAAUAGGUACUAAUUAGGUAAAUAACUGCUAUAUAUUGCUUUAGUUAAUGGAAGAAUCAGUAAUUUCCCACUUCCCUUCACUUAUAUGGAGUCCAAUCAUCAUCAUCCCUUCUUCCCUUCACAGCUAAAUUUCUUUAUAAAAGGUCAUAAACACUCAGGCUUCUCCACCUCCUGCUCCUUCACUCACUGCAAAUCUUGAUUUUGUUACCACCGUGUUCACUCAUCCACCCUCACCAAGAACACUAAUGAACCCCUUGCUGCUAAUGGCAUGGAAACUUCAGUCCUCAUGUCACUAAACCUUGCCUCUCAGGUACCAGCCCACCUCAUUCUCCUUCCUCUCUGCUUGCCCUUCUUUUUUUUUUUUUUUUUCUUUUUUCCUGCUUGCCCUUCUUAAAGUCUUUUACUGGCUUCUCUUCUAAAAUUUCUGUCUUCAGUGUUCACAUUCUCUAUGUUACGGUCCUUAUGUUUCCUCUCUCUUAUUCCACCUUCUCUCUGCAUUUUCACACAUCCUCAGGGCAUCAAAUACAACUAGCAGACUGCUCAAUCCUAAAUCUCAAUCUCCACUGUAUCUACCAGACCUUUACAUCUCAGUAGAAGAUUUUGUUAUUGUUAGGACAUGCACUAAUGAUGAUUCUUGUUUACAUCCUUGGGAGAAAGCAACAUCCUAGCAUACCGUUAACCUCCACACAUGGCAUAGCAGUUGAGAAGCUUUUUUAGGUGUGUAUGCGUAGGCAAUAUGUUAUCUAGAUGGUUAUAUCCAACCCAGCCAAGCAGGUGGAGUUGUUGUAGGUUUGAAAUUGUUUUCUGGCAGUAUAUCUGAGGUAUAACUACUUUAUGUUGCCAAAUAGUUGGGGAAUCAUAAUGUUUAACAAUCAUUAGGUAUGGGGACAGAGUACCCAGUCCUUGAGAAACUGUAUACUGUCUGAAUAGAAGGCCUUUCCACCUUCUCUCGGUAGGAACUCAAAGUCCAGAUUAUACUUCGAAAUAAUGUAUUAGGUGUUCAGUGCAGUUUAAUCUCGCUUACUCUUCUUCUUUCCCUAUUUAAUUUUAUUUUUUCAGUUUCCCCCCUAGAUUCUGCUGUUUUCAUUAUAAACAAAAGAAAUGGAUGAGGAAAAACGGACUAUUUGUAUAUACAUUGAACAACAGAGUUAUCAGUUUGCUUUCUUAGUAGCCAGAGAGCUGUCUGGAUUCAAUCUAACUACUUUGAGCAUUUUGAAAACAAAAACAAAAACAAAACUUAUGCCUGUAAAUUUUAAUAAAAAGCAAAUACAAAUUCUAAAUAACAAGGAUAUAGAACUAAAAUAUUUUUAUUAUUUCUGGGGUGCUAGGUGGCUCAGUCAGUUAAGUGUCCACCUUUGGCUCAGCUUAUGAUCUUGCAGUUUGUGAGUUUGAGCCCCAUGUUGGGCUCUGUGCUGACAGCUCAGAGCCUGGAGCCUGCUUGGGAUUCUGUGUCUCCCUCUCUCUCUGCCCCUCCCCUGCUACCUCUCCUUCUCUCUCUCUCAAAAAUGAAUAAACAUUAAAAAUUUUUUAAUAAAAUAUUUUGAUUGUUUUUAAUUUAUUUAUUUCAAAGUUUGUUUAUUUUGAGAGAGAGAAAGAGAGCAAGCAGGGAAGGAGCAGAGAGAGAGUGAGAGAGAGAAUCCUAAGUAGACCCCAUGCUGUCAAUGCAGAGUUCAAUCUCACGAACUGUGAGAUCAUCACCUGAGCUGAAAUGAAGAGUCAGAUGCUUAACCAACUGAGCCACCCAGGUGCCCCUAUUUAUUUAUUUUUUUAAAGUAAUCCUUACAUCCAACAUUGGACUCAAACUUACGACACCAAGAUCCAGUCACAUACUCUUCCAACUGAGCCAGCCAGGUGCCCUAAGAACUAAAAUAUGUUAAAGAUCAAUUUUAAAACAUAAAAAAAUGCAAAAAAGAUAUUAAGUUGACUCAUGUCCUCUUAAAAUUCAUGUUUUUUUUUAAGUUUAUUUAUUUUGAGACAGUGAGAAAUAGAGGCCAGCAGGGAAGGGGCAGAGAGAGAGGGAGGGGGAGAAUCCCAAGAAGACUCUGCUGUCAGCGCAGAGCCCGAGGCAGGGUGCAGUCUCACAAACUGUGAGAUCUUAACCUGAGCUGAGAUCAAGAGUCAGAUGCUUAAUCAACUGAGACAUCCAAGCGCCCCUUAAAAUUCGUAUGUUGAAGUCAAACCCCCAGGAGAUCAGAAUUUAACAAUAUUUAGAGAUAGGACGUUUAAUGAGGUAAUUAAGGUAAAAUGAGAUCAUUUGGGUGGGCCUUAAUUCAGUAUAGCUGGUGAUCUAAUAAAGACCCAGAGAUGUGAGGCAGAAAGAAAGUGUGAGGACAUGGUGAGAAGGCAGCCAUCUGCAGGUCAUGGAGAGGCCACAAAAGAAACCAAACCUACCAAAACUUUGAUCUUGGACAUGUAGACACCAGAACUAUGAGAAAAUAAAUUACUGUUAUUUAAACUGCUCAAUCUGGGGGCGCCUGGGUGGCUCAGUCGGUUGGGCGGCCGACUUCAGCUCAGGUCACGAUCUCGCAGUCCGUGAGUUUGAGCCCCGCGUAGGGCUUUGUGCUGACAGCUCAGAGCCUGGAGCCUGUUUCGGAUUCUGUGUCUCCCUCUCUCUGACCCUCCCCCAUUCAUGCUCUGUCUCUCUCUCUAUCUCAAAAAUAAAUAAACGUUAAAAAAAAAAUUAAAAAAAAACAAAACUGCUCAAUCUGUAGUAUUCAUUAUGGCAGCCCUAGCAAACUAAUGCAGAAGCAGUUAAUAUAAAAAUAGGAUAGUGUGUUGUAUGUUUCAGUACAGUAAUAUGAAAAAGAAACAACUUUUAUAGCCAUCCAAUAAGUCAGCAUAAUUCAUGCUUUCUGGUAUGAUUGGUCCAACAAAAGGGAAUAUGAUUAUUCUUGUACAGUAUUAUGAAACAUAAAAUUUCUUAAUUCAAAAUGUUUUUACUAGCUCUACCCUCACCAGAUGUAGGUUUUUAACAAAUUAAGCCAAACCUCAUAUUUUUCUUUGAAUUCCAGCAAACUAAUGUGUAAGAAGCAACACAAACCUAUACCUCUCUCUAGAGAAGAGUAAGGUCCCUAGAUAAUUAUAGGGUGAAAGCUGGUCACCAAAAAGACCAAACAAGAUUAGAGCUUUAAAUUUCCCUUUCCACCUCCUGGCAGUGGGGAGGGGGAAGGUUGCUGAAGAUUGAGUGGGAAAACAAAAACAAAAAAUAAACUUGAACCAGGAGAUUGAGAGAGCUUUGGGGUUGGUGUAUCCUUUUUCCAUUAAAUUCGACUCUGUUCAUAGUAGGCAAGAGAAAUGAUAUGAAGAAAAAUUGACUAUUUGUAUAUAUACUGAUAUGGCAGGAAGGUGAUGCAUCAAGAGAGGGCAUGGGCAUUCUGUGCCAUCCCCAAACCCCAUACCUUUUCUUAGCUCUGUCUUCCAUUUGGCUGUGUCCUUUAUAACAAACUGGUAAAUAUGAGUAAAGUGCUUUACUGAGAUCUGUGAGUUCUAGUGAAUUUGCAAACCUGAGGAGGUGGUGGUAGGAACUACCAAAUUGGUAGUUGGCUGGGCAGAAGUUUUGUGGCCUGGCCACCCCAUUCAAAACUGGCAUCUGAGUCAGGGCAGUCUUAUGGGCUGUCUUACGGGUAGUGCACUAACUCUGGGUGUUGUCAGAAUUGAAUUGUCCAAUUCAAUUGAACCUAGUUGGUGUAGAGAAUUGGUUGUUUCAAAUAUAUAUAUUUGGGGGGCAUGUCUGGGUGGCUCAGGUCAUGAUCUCACAGUUUGUGGGUUUGAGCCCCGCAUCAGGCUCCACACUGGCGGCACGGGGUCUGCUUGGAAUUCACUUUCUCUCCUUUUCUCUCCGCCCUCCUCCACUCUCGCUCUCUCUCAAAAUAAAUAAAUGAACUUAAAAAAAAUAAAAAUAUACGUUUGGUGUUAAAAAAAAGGUGAGAUUCACUAGAACUUCCUUCACUUAGAUAAACCUACAGUUUGGGAAGAGAAUGCACAAAAUGUCAGUGAUGAGCUAUCUUUGAUUCCUGACUGACCAUAUGGUCACCUGUGGUACAGAACAGAGCUGUCCUGCUAAACUAAAAGGUACCAGUGGGAUUUAGGGAUGGACUCAAUUUCCAGGGAGUUGGCUCACUUGAUGCAUAAGGAAAUGAAGACUAAUAAGAAAAAUGCGAAAUAUACAACAUCUUGGUUGUUGUCAGCUGUAAUAGCUAAAAUGAAAAUAAAAGAGAAUACUGGAUUGGACCUUGAUGCUGGACCAAGCUCAAAUAUUAGUUGGUCCCAGCUUAGGCCAUAGGCUCAAAGCCAUCCCCAAAUAGAAUAAUUAUUCUGGAACAACAUAAAGUACUUCUUUUUUUUUUUUUUUUAAUGUUUAUUUUUGAGAGCAAGAAAGAGUACAAGCAGGGGAGAGGCAGAGAGAAAGGGAGACACAGAAUCUGAAGCAGGCUCCAGGCUCUGAGCUGUCAGCAAAGAGCCCAACGCAGGGCUCGAAUUCACAGAUCAUGACCUGAGCCUAAGUAGGACGCCUAACCAACUGAGCCACCCACAUGCCCCUAGAAAGUAUUUCUAAAACCUCUGCUCACCAAGAAAGUAGUGCACACCGGAGGAGGGCAAAAAAUGUAAAUCAUUGAAACCAGAGGGUUCCAAGUUCUGAAAGUAAUUGAAAUUGACAAGUAGAUAUCCUUGUGUGUUUGCUUGUGGUGGCCACCUGAGUCAAUGAGUGGGUGUUGAGGGGACUGCAGCAAUGCAGAGAUGGGCUGAAUGUAGACCUAUUCCUUCAUGCCCUCUGAGGUACGAAAUGUCAAUAAGGACUGUUCUGUUUGCCAACCAAGAGUCAGAGACUGCGGAUAGCUAUGUGGCAGAUUCCCAAUGGCAAGGCCUUGAGCAUGGCUGACAAGUCAGACAUGCCCAGCCCCCUGGGGCUACAGAUGGGUCUUGAUAAGAAUGGACACUGUUUUGGGGCUGGACUUUGCUUAACCAGUGUUCAAAGCAAAUGUAUCAGAGUAAUAGAAUCUGAACAGAGGAUAUUACACCAAAUUUGGACCACUGAAUCAUAUUUUUUUUUGAAUCAUAUUUCUUCAGACCAAAGAAAAUGCUUUACAGCCCAUAAUCUCUAAAAUGGGCAAAGAAAGGGGCACCUACCUGGCUCAGUUGGUAGAGCAUGUGACCCUUGAUCUCGAGGUCAUGAGUUCAAGCCCCACAUUGGGUGUAGAGCUUACUUACUUACUAAACAUACGAAUAGUGAAUAGAGAAUUGGAAUUCGCAAUUGAAAAUUGGUUGUUUAAAUCAGGGGGUGUGAAGGAAGAUAGGCAUGAGUGUGUGCUUACAUUCAAAAUGAAGGGGAGUAUCCCUCCUAGAUAGAUUCCUUUGUCUUUCUGGUAGAUCUGGCUAUGAGCAUCUGAGGGAGGAUGCUAGUAGGACUGUGCAAUUCUUCCCAAGGCAAAAGACUAGAACUAUAUUUUUUUCAUUAUUGGGGUGCCUGGGUGGCUCAGUCGGUUAAGUGUUCAACUUUAGCUUAGGUCAUGAUAUCACGGUUUACAAGUUUGAACCCCAAGUUGGGCUCUGUGCUGACGGCUCAGAGCCUGGAGCCUGCUUCAGAUUCUGUGUCUCCCUCUCUCUCUGCCCCUCCCCUGCUCACAUUCUGUCUCUCAAAAAUAAAACAUUAAAAAAAAUUUUUUAAGGUAUUAUGUUAGAAUUCCUUAAGGGCCUGAGAGGGGAGGAUUGUGCUUUCAUUCUGUCUGGCAAAAUUAAGGUUAAUAGUGAAUGCAGCUAUAUUCCCUGGUGGUAAAAAUAGUCCACCAGUUCUGUACCUAUGUAACUCUACCUGUUACUGAAACCCAAUUUCAACUGCCCUUCACUCAAAAAGCCAAUACACAAGAGACUAGUUUUGAUUGGAAAGAAAUAUGAGCUUUAUUCAGGAGAGAAUGGCCACCUGGAGAGAAGGCAGACCUGUCCAAAUGCCAACUCUGAGGUUUCUGCCCAGCCCAGAGAUUUUUUAAAGCGGUUAAUCAGUUAAGGGAGUGCAGUGGUCUGUAACAAUUCUUGAUUAUGUGCAGACUCGUGGUACUAGCUACAGAUGUUAUUUUGGUGCUCAGAGGUUGUGCAAGGGAGUCUGGUUCCUUGUUGCCCGGGAGUACAACAGGGUCUGGUGAUGUGUAGAAGGUCUCUGUUCUUUUUUUUAGGAAAGAAUGCAUGAUCUAUAGAUAUAGAAAGAAAGGUUUAAUUAGUCAAUCAUACAGGCUAAGGAUGCUUACAAAAGCUAGUAAACUACUAGGUUGGCUGGAGGGCUCCAAGUGUCUUCAUACCCUAUGGUAUGAAUGGGGAUGGACUGAUGGGGAGGUGCCUACCAAACUAGAACUGCUGCUUGCAGUACAGACUGGCACAGUGACCCAACGUAACUUUCAGAAGGUGGAAAAGUUUGGGUAUAAAUGGAGAGAAGGAGGAACAGUAGCUGAGGAUAAAUGAGUAAAUGAGUUGUGUAAGUGACGGAAAUCCAAUAUUACAUUAAUACCUGGAAAGUAGAUCAGAAUAAAAGAUAACCUUGUCUCUUAGCUCCAUUACACGUACUAGUUGCCUGAAAGGAUGAAGCCAUUUCUGGUUUUACAACAGUUAAGAUCUAGAAUGUGUGCCUAUAAACCUGAGAAGCCUCGCCCUGGGAGACAUUUUCAAAUGAAAGGAUAAUGGACUGGACUAAUUAUUAAUUAUUGAAUGGACUCUAGUAAUAUGUUAGUAUCUUUUAAUUCUUAUAAUCUUUUUUGUUACAGAUCCAUGGCCUGUGGUAUAAGAAAAACAUACAGGGGCGCCUGGGUGGCUCAGUCGGUUGAGCGUCCAACUUCG